Molecule: RNA transcript, 2687 nt
Organism: Hypanus sabinus (Atlantic stingray)
Lineage: Eukaryota; Metazoa; Chordata; Chondrichthyes; Myliobatiformes; Dasyatidae
Gene name: tumor necrosis factor receptor superfamily member 17-like
Exons: 5
Source: RefSeq, a predicted model, not a curated record
CACGAACUCGACGCGCCCUUCUGGCGCACGGAACUACGCUAACCAGAGAGGCCCGCGGUAACAGCCGGGAUGCGUGACCUCGCCGCUAAACUGUCGAGUUCCUAUCCCGUUAGGGAUGCAGCUUCACAGGCUGACCCAAAGUUUAAUUGUCUCUGAGACGGUGGUGAAGCACUGCAGUACUUGCAGAUUUCCAUCUACAAUAUUUUGCUCUUGUGCCAGUAUUUCACCCUGAUUGGAAGGUGCACAUAAAAUACAUAAUCCUGUCAAGAAUUAAUUGACUGAAGACUCCAGAAGAUAAUGCUGUGCCUGAAAGAAAACUGAGACAAAUAUUGCACCUGGGUACUCCAGUGCCUACAGUGACCAUUCCCGAUGCAAGUAAACUCACAUGGAUUAUCAUUGGAUUACUUCAGCUUUUAAUAUUAAUAUUUAUAGUAUUUAUUCUUUUCAUUCGAAAAUUGCAUCAACGGAAAGCAAAUGUACCAUUUAAAUCUACAGAUGUGAUACCCAAUAGUGAUGUCGUCAUUUCAAGUUUCAAGGAAACCACACUUGCCGAAGACACACAUCAAUUCUCUCGAGUAAGAAAUCAGCAAUCAGAUCACCUUAUGGAACCUGACAUUUCCAUUUGCACAGUCCAAGGAAGUGAAAUGAAGAUACUGAUAUCAUGUGGUCAGGGAGACUAUGACUAUGAUGCCUCAUUUCCUCUACCAGCUACCGAAGAAGGAGCAACAGCUCUUGUCACAACCAAAACUGCAGAGCGCUGUGACUGUAGAUAAGUGUAUUAUUUCAGCAGUCAGGAAUGCUUUUUGAAAUACCAUGAGCUGAUAUUUAGAAAUUUGCAGAAUGAUUCCUGAAGAUGACAUGUUGCUGUUGUAAAAUUCUGCCUUGUGCAAUUUGACUGCCUUGCCUAUGAUAUGAUGGCAACUACACUUCACAAAUACUUGUGCUGUAAAGUAUUUUGAGAUAUUUCAAGAUUGCAAAAACUCUCAAGGUGCCAUAAAAAUGUCAGGCUUUUCUUUCAUUUGCUUUUUUUUUUGCAGAAUGAUCUUCACAGGGGCUAACCCUUAAGGUUGAACUGAUUCUGCUGAUCCAAAACUGUUGGAUCUCCUUUUUUUUAAUAACUUUUUUGGAUUUUUGUUGUCAACUGCCAUAUUUUGGUUUUUGUAGUUUAAUUAAGUUGCGGCUUCAAUAUGUUUCCGUUUCUCUUGCUUAAUUUCUUGUUGUCAUGACCCUUAACUGAUUUCAAAGUUUCUAAUCAGUUCAAACAGUUGUGUUUUCUUCUAAGGUUUCUUUAUUGCUAUAUUCUGUUUUCCUCAAUGUUCUGUGUUUUACCAUAGUGAUAUUUAUAAUUUAUUACCUUAACCAUAUAACAAUUACAGCAUGGAAACAGGGCAUAUCGACCCUUCUAGUCCAUGCUGAGCGCUUACUCUCACCUAGUCCCACCAACCUGCACUCAGCCCAUACCCUCCAUUCCUUUCCUGUCCAUAUACCUAUCCAAUUUUUUAAAAUGACAGUAUCAGUGUAGUGUAGUUUGUAUUUGUUUGUAGUUUGUAGCUUUAGUGUAGUUUGACAAUAUUUAAACUUAGUUUUAUUUUCUUUGCUCUUCAUACAGCUAGCAAUUUUUUCAAAUCACUUUUGCAUUCUACUUUUUUGUGCUUCCUCAGUUGUGUCCUAUUUUUGAAUUUUCUCCCCCCCCCCCCCCAUCUGAUUAAGAUUUUGGUUUGCAACAUUAUUCAAGCUCCUCAGCUUUAUUUCAUUGAACAAAGCUGAAGGUCAAAUGCAAGUGUCAGAGAAAUUGUCAUGAAGAUAGGCAAUGGCAGCCAGGCAAAGGCUACAUAACUUUACAUUUACUGCAAAUAAUGAGAAAUAUAAACACAUUUAUUUGAAAAGAAAAAAAGACAAGAUAGUAUGAUUCAAAGAUAAUUAUGAAUCUUAAUGUUAAGCAAAUGAAGUAGAAAAAUUGUGAAAUAAAUUGUUAUGAAUGUACCACAGCUCUGAGGGGCCGAAGGGUGCGGGGUAGCCCCCUCCUUUGUGAGAAUCGCAAGAUCACUAUUGAUUUGGGUCAGGAGACCCAGGAAAUGAGAGAGAGACGUGCCGAAUGUCUUGUUCCCCCCCCCCCCCCACCCCCUGGCGAUAUAAAGCUACAGGAAACGGCCUUUGUCUCUUGGAGACGGACUUGUGGAUUGCAAUACUGUGCUACGUGGAAGCCCUCAGGCAAAGUAGGCUGGUUGAGGGAGGGAUUGCCUCAUCCCAACCUGAUUGACAUCUCAGACCCUGUGAGUCAGGAUAAAAGAGGGUCUGUGGGAACAGCCCCUUCAGAUGCACCAGAAGAAACACUAGCGAUCCCGUAAUAGCUGAAGCCGGUGGGAAGGCCACGUGUGUUCAGUUCCAUUUGCCCCGGAACCGGUGCCCUUUACCACGGAAAAACGGCUUUUAGCUAACAACGGGGAAACCAACUCCCAACGACUCGAAGGAUUGACAUCAUAAAAGGACUGGGCAAGUUUUAAACCCGUCUUUCUUUCAAACCAAAAUGCUGCAGCUUGAACGAACUAUCAGUGACUUUUAUAUUUCCAUCGGACAAUAAUUAUCCCCUAGACAACAAUAGAGCUAUUUCUUAUUGAUUAUUAUUAUACCCGCGCAUUUAGAUUUAGUAUUGACGACGUAUAUUGUUCGUAUGUUUGCAUUGAUAU